GACGAACGUUGGCGGCGUGCUUAAUACAUGCAAGUCAACUGAAGCAGUGGUAGCAAUAUCGCUGUGGAGGUGGCGCACGGGUGAGUAACACGUAGGUAAUCUGCCUUCAGGUCUGGCAUAACUCCGGGAAACCGGGGCUAAUAGCAGAUGAUGCAGCGGCUCGACAUCGAGACAGUUGUUAAAGCUAUGGCGCCUGAAGAUGAGCCUGCGUCUGAUUAGCUAGUUGGCGGGGUAACGGCGCACCAAGGCAACGAUCAGUAGCUGGUCUGAGAGGAUGAUCAGGCACACUGGAACUGAGACACGGUCCAGACUACUACGGGAGGCAGCAGUAAGGAAUAUUGCUCAAUGGGAGAAAUCCUGAAGCAGCAACGCCGCGUGAGGGACGAAGGGCUUUUGCUUGUAAACCUCUGUAGUGAGAGAAAAAAAUCCCAAUCUUUGGGACAUGAUGGUAUCUCAAAAGUAAGCCCCGGCUAACUACGUG
RNAcentral lists this ribosomal RNA (481 nucleotides) under uncultured bacterium. RNAcentral's name for it is "partial 16S ribosomal RNA". It matches the Rfam family "Bacterial small subunit ribosomal RNA", at positions 28 to 507 of the family's 1533-position model. The record is from RNAcentral.